AUGGAAAUCGGAGCGCUCCGUGUCGUGAUGAGCAGUUCCUUUCUGCCCGUUCCGUGUGCACUGGGACCGGGAGGGUCGCUCUGGGGUCCGGGUGCCCGACGGCGGGGGUGGGAGGGGUGUCCACUCUCACUGGGCAGCGAAGCCUGCGGGCGGGGCCGGGACGGACCCCGCCUCCCCACCGCCGCUGGGGCCGGGCCCAGCCCCUCCCAGCCCUGCCCGGCUCUAGACCCCCGUACGACCCCAGGGCGGGCGUCUCCGAGGCGAAGGUCUCCUGUUCUCCGCCCCCGCCCCCACCUGCUCAGGGGCGGGGCCUCUUCCUCCCGGGGGUUGGGGGAGGGGGUGGCGAUUGCCCGAGACUCGAGCCCCACCCUCACCCCCGGGCUCUGCAACCCCGUCCUCAGCCCGGGAGGCCCCAACCCCCCGGCCCGGCCCGGCUCGCCCGGGGGCGAGGCAGGGAUGCCCGGGCGGGUCCGAGUCUUUCCCGCCGGCACCGUCAGCGGGUGCUCGGCUUCCAGUUGGAGGAGUCACUGCUGGUUUGUGCCGAGGGGCCUCCUGCCCCGCCCCCGCCCCCGCCCCGGUGUUCCUCCUGCUCCGCCCCUCGCGCCCCUCCCGGGGCUGCAGGGCGGGGGGGCCCCCCACACCCUGUGUUCCGGAGUGAGGGUGAGCUCGGGGCUCCAGGCCGCUCUGCUUUGUGACGCUGCUUCGCUCCGCCCGGUCCCUGGGGGGCGGGCGCUGUGCUCCGUCUUGGCUGAUCUAGGGCGGGGACCCAGCCCGGACUUGGGCGGGUUGAGGGUGGGUAGGAGGAGACCACAGCCAACAAAUGGGGUCUGGGGCCCUGGGGUGGGGCGCCUGGAGGCCCCCGUGGGCCGGUGGAGUCGGGUGGGUGGGAGCCUCCUGUGUCUCCUACAGUCGGGGGUCAGGUGGUCUGCAGCCCUGUCCGGUGCCCCUAAGGCCCCAGGCCAGCCAGCCUCUGGCCCUGACCUGCGAGGAGACCCCGCAUCUGGAGGGUGGGUUUCCAGAGCCUCUGAGCUUGCUGCUGGCCUCCAGACUCCUGCCACCACCGGGCACGCCCUGCCUCCUCGCCGCUGA
This is a long non-coding RNA of Bos indicus x Bos taurus (hybrid cattle), 1089 nucleotides long. Lineage: Eukaryota; Metazoa; Chordata; Mammalia; Artiodactyla; Bovidae. The record is from Ensembl.